GAUGAAGAACGCAGCGAAAUGCGAUACGUAAUGUGAAUUGCAAAUUCAGUGAAUCAUCGAGUCUUUGAACGCACAUUGCGCCCCCUGGUAUUCCGGGGGGCAUGCCUGUCCGAGCGUCAUUGCUGCCCUCAAGCACGGCUUGUGUGUUGGGCCCCGUCCUCCGAUCCCGGGGGACGGGCCCGAAAGGCAGCGGCGGCACCGCGUCCGGUCCUCGAGCGUAUGGGGCUUUGUCACCCGCUCUGUAGGCCCGGCCGGCGCUUGCCGAUCAACCCAAAUUUUUAUCCAGGUUGACCUCGGAUCAGGUAGGGAUACCCGCUGAACUUAAGCAUAUCAAUAAGCCGAGGA
Molecule: unclassified non-coding RNA, 345 nt
Filed under: soil metagenome
Description: partial contains 5.8S ribosomal RNA, internal transcribed spacer 2, and large subunit ribosomal RNA
Rfam family: 5.8S ribosomal RNA (bases 1-119)
Source: RNAcentral